Molecule: ribosomal RNA, 486 nt
Filed under: uncultured bacterium
Lineage: Bacteria
Description: partial 16S ribosomal RNA
Rfam family: Bacterial small subunit ribosomal RNA
Source: RNAcentral
AUUGAACGCUGGCGGCAUGCCUUACACAUGCAAGUCGAACGGCAGCACGGGUGCUUGCACCUGGUGGCGAGUGGCGAACGGGUGAGUAAUACAUCGGAACAUGUCCUGUAGUGGGGGAUAGCCCGGCGAAAGCCGGAUUAAUACCGCAUACGAUCUACGGAUGAAUGCGGGGGACCUUCGGGCCUCGCGCUAUAGGGUUGGCCGAUGGCUGAUUAGCUAGUUGGUGGGGUAAAGGCCUACCAAGGCGACGAUCAGUAGCUGGUCUGAGAGGAAGACCAGCCACACUGGGACUGAGACACGGCCCAGACUCCGACGGGAGGCAGCAGUGGGGAAUUUUGGACAAUGGGCGAAAGCCUGAUCCAGCAAUGCCGCGUGUGUGAAGAAGGCCUUCGGGUUGUAAAGCACUUUUGUCCGGAAAGAAAUCCUUGGCCCUAAUACGGUCGGGGGAUGACGGUACCGGAAGAAUAAGCACGGGCUAACUACGUG